This 502-nucleotide ribosomal RNA is filed under the name uncultured bacterium. RNAcentral's name for it is "bacterial SSU rRNA". It matches the Rfam family "Bacterial small subunit ribosomal RNA", at positions 30 to 504 of the family's 1533-position model. The record is from RNAcentral.
UGAACGCUGGCGGCGUGCUUAACACAUGCAAGUCGAACGAGAAUUCUCCGGCUUGCCGGAGAUAGUAAAGUGGCGUACGGGUGAGUAACGCGUGGGUAAUCUACCUCUGGAUUUGGGAUAACAUUGCGAAAGCGAUGCUAAUACCGGAUGAUAUCCUUUUUACCGUGGUAUGAAGGAUGAAAGGUGGCCGCUCCAUGGAAGCUACUGUUUGGAGAUGAGCCCGCGUACCAUUAGCUUGUUGGUAGGGUAAAGGCCUACCAAGGCUACGAUGGUUAGCUGGUCUGAGAGGGUGAUCAGCCACACUGGAACUGACACACGGUCCAGACUCCUACGGGAGGCAGCAGUGAGGAAUUUUGCGCAAUGGGGGAAACCCUGACGCAGCAACGCCGCGUGAGUGAUGAAGGCUUUCGGGUCGUAAAGCUCUGUCAAGUGGGAAGAACCUGUGUAUGGUUAAUAUCCAUAUGCACUGACGGUACCACUGAAGGAAGCACCGGCUAACUCC